UUCCGAUAACGAACGAGACCCCAGCCAUCUAAAUAGCUGUCGCUAGCUUAAUUUUAAGUUGGUGUGGGCGCAAGCCCUAACAGCUUCUUAGAGGGACUAUCUGUGUCAACAGGUGGAAGUGUGGGGCAAUAACAGGUCAGUGAUGCCCUUAGAUGCUCUGGGCUGCACGCGCGCUACAAUGGUGCAUUCAGCGAGGUAACCUGGCUUGAGAAGGCUGGGUAAACUUAAAAGUGCAUCUCAGUUGGGAUAGAUGAUUGCAAUUUUUCAUCUUGAACAAGGAAUAUCUAGUAAACGCAAGUCAUCAACUUGCAUUGAUUACGUCCCUGCCCUUUGUACACACCGCCCGUCGCUCCUACCGAUUGAAUAAUCCGGUGAAUUGAGUGGGUUGGACUCCUUUUCGAUUGAUUUAGAAAAUGAGUCCAAGAAGCUCUGUGAACCUUAUUAUUUAGAGG
This 452-nucleotide ribosomal RNA is filed under the name Haplosporida sp. RNAcentral describes it as "SSU rRNA". It matches the Rfam family "Eukaryotic small subunit ribosomal RNA", at positions 1323 to 1779 of the family's 1831-position model. Lineage: Eukaryota; Endomyxa; Ascetosporea; Haplosporida. The record is from RNAcentral.